AUUGAACGCUGGCGGCAUGCCUUACACAUGCAAGUCGAACGGUAACAGGUUAAGCUGCCGAGUUGCGAACGGGUGAGUGAUGCAUCGGAGCGGGCCCAAUAGUAGUCUAUAGCCCGGCGAAAGCCGGAGUAAUACCGCAUACGACCUAAGGGUAUACGGGGUAGAUCGCAAGACCUCUCGCUAUUGGAGCGUCCGAUGUCAGAUUAGCUAGUUGGUGGGGUAAAAGCUCACCAAGGCGACGAUCUGUAGCUGGUCUGAGAGGACGAUCAGCCACACUGGGACUGAGACACGGCCCAGACUCCUACGGGAGGCAGCAGUGGGGAAUUUUGGACAAUGGGCGCAAGCCUGAUCCAGCCAUGCCGCGUGCGGGAAGAAGGCCUUCGGGUUGUAAACCGCUUUUGUCAGGGAAGAAAUCCUUUGGGUUAAUACCUCGGGGGGAUGACGGUACCUGAAGAAUAAGCACCGGCUAACUACGUG
This 477-nucleotide ribosomal RNA is filed under the name uncultured bacterium. RNAcentral's name for it is "partial 16S ribosomal RNA". It matches the Rfam family "Bacterial small subunit ribosomal RNA", at positions 30 to 507 of the family's 1533-position model. The record is from RNAcentral.